Molecule: long non-coding RNA, 706 nt
Organism: Juglans microcarpa x Juglans regia
Lineage: Eukaryota; Viridiplantae; Streptophyta; Magnoliopsida; Fagales; Juglandaceae
Exons: 2
Source: RefSeq, a predicted model, not a curated record
GCGCCGACUCAAAAGCGAAAAAGUCUUUUCUCUGCCUUCGACCUAGACGACAGGGGUUGAGUUUUGUCUUCAGGUCCUGCUUUGUUGUGGGGUUCUUGUUCGUUCCUGAGAGACUUUCCCGAGAGAACUCAGGAGAAAAUUUGAAAGUAAAACAGAGCUUGAGAUUGAAAGUGGAGGAAACCGUAAUGGUAGAGAUCUGUACCUCGGUCCUCGAAGAAAUCUUUCAUGGCUUGUGAUUAAGUUAGGGAGCUGUGCUUCAAUCGGUCUUACCUACCUGGGUGCCUGUGAUUCCUCAACAGCCAAGUUCUUCCAUGUGAUCACGGACGAAUAGUAGGAUUUUUAAUCCAUACGAUGUAAUUCCUGCUGGCUCUGAAGUGCUGGUGCAAAAAUGCACUCACUGCGUAGCCAUUUCCUGGAAAUGAGAUGUUGGGACCUGAAGUUACAUGUUAAACGAUCAACCGGGAAUGGUGUUGGGCUUGGUUUGGUCUAGAGCCGGGCUGGUGGUGUUUGAAGUCAUAUUGGUGGGAGGAGAGUCAAGAGUAUGGAUGCUGAAAUACUAGAUAUGUGAGCUCUGAAGAAACUGUGUUUUGUAGUAAAUUAUAUAUAUAUAUAUUCCUCACCCCCAAGUUUUGAAUUGAUCUGUGGAGUUUUGAAGAUAAUGUCUGGAAGUUUAAUAAAUUCAGGAGUAAUUUUAUCUUUUUAAUAA